Molecule: ribosomal RNA, 524 nt
Filed under: Aporcelaimellus obtusicaudatus
Lineage: Eukaryota; Metazoa; Nematoda; Enoplea; Dorylaimida; Aporcelaimidae
Description: eukaryotic LSU rRNA
Rfam family: Eukaryotic large subunit ribosomal RNA
Source: RNAcentral
UGAAACACGGACCAAGGAGUCUAACAUAUGCGCGAGCUAAUGGGCGGAAAACCCAAAAGCGUAAUAAAAGUAAAGGCCGUUUCGGACGGCUAAGGUACGAUCCUAGAGUCCGCGCGAUUUUAGGCGCAGUACCGUCCCGUCCCGACCGCUUGUCGGUAGGGCGGAGACAGAGUGCAUACGUUGGGACCCGAAAGAUGGUGAACUAUGCCUGAGCAGAGCGAAGCCAGAGGAAACUCUGGUGGAGGUUCGUAGCGGUUCUGACGUGCAAAUCGAUCGUCAGACUUGGGUAUAGGGGCGAAAGACUAAUCGAACCAUCUAGUAGCUGGUUCCCCCUGAAGUUUCCCUCAGGAUAGCUGAUACUCGGGAAAUAAAGAAGUUUUAUCCGGUAAAGCGAAUGAUUAGAGGCAUUGGGGACGAAAUGACCUCAACCUAUUCUCAAACUUUAAAUGGGUAAGAAGUCGAGCUUGCUCGACCGAAGCCCGGCAAACGAAUUCGAGUAUCAAGUGGGCCAUUUUUGGUAAGCA